This 378-nucleotide ribosomal RNA is filed under the name uncultured bacterium. RNAcentral describes it as "bacterial SSU rRNA". It matches the Rfam family "Bacterial small subunit ribosomal RNA", at positions 523 to 898 of the family's 1533-position model. The record is from RNAcentral.
AGACAGAGGAUGCAAGCGUUAUCCGGAAUGAUUGGGCGUAAAGCGCCUGUAGGUGGCUUUUUAAGUUCGCUGUCAAAUACCAGGGCUCAACCCUGGACAGGUGGUGAAAACUACUAAGCUAGAGUACGGUAGGGGCAGAGGGAAUUUCCGGUGGAGCGAUGAAAUGCGUAGAGAUCGGAAGGAACACCAACGGCGAAAGCACUCUGCUGGGCCGACACUGACACUGAGAGACGAAAGCUAGGGGAGCGAAUGGGAUUAGAGACCCCAGUAGUCCUAGCCGUAAACGAUGGAUACUAAGUGGCUGUGCGUAUCGACCCGUGCAACGCUGUAGCUAACGCGUUAAGUAUCCCGCCUGGGGAGUACGUUCGCAAGAAUGAA